This is a non-coding RNA of Macaca mulatta (Rhesus monkey), 1007 nucleotides long. The record is from RefSeq and is a predicted model, not a curated record. NCBI's taxonomy places the organism in Eukaryota, Metazoa, Chordata, Mammalia, Primates, Cercopithecidae.
CUGGUGGGUUGCAAGCAAGAGGGAGAGAACAAUUUGGAAAACGAAGAAGCAGGAUAGAAAAAGCUGGGGGAACUGCAAGGGGCCAGGGAUCGAGAGCGCAGUCCAGGGCAAGGACCCUGAGGGUGAUAACCAGAGACUGGCAGAACCGGUGCGGGCGGAGGGGAAGCGAGGCAGGAGAGACGAAGGGAGAGGUGGACAACGAUCUGUGGCAAAUCGCGGGGUGCUGCUAUUCGAGGAGCGGGAGGGUGGCUGCUUUAAGCGUGGGUGGAGGAAGACCAGAAAGGCCCCUGAAAGAAAAAGGGAAGAGAAAGGGAAGCUGGGGAGGUGACACGGAAGAGCGCAGGAGGGCGGUGAGGGGAGAGGGGGUUGGCAGAAAGACAAGUGUGCAGCUUGGAGUCAGGACGAGGCAGCCGCCGCCGGACCUGCUGCUCCCAACAUGGCCGCCACCACCGCCGGCCCUCGGCUCUUUCCGCCGGCAGCAGCCGGAAACAUCCGAAGCGGCUAGAAACGGGAGGUGGGGCGCGCCUUCUCCUCCCGGCCACAGACUACGGGUGAAUUCCGGAAACAGCCGAAGAAGGUAACCCCCGGGGACGCGCGCACCUCCUCGUAAGAAGACGAAGCUUCGGCUCUGUUUACGGAAAUCCACGAAACGACCCCGAUUACCUACCCCCUCAGCUCCCGUCCACAGACAUCCAGCCACGCCCACCGGCCUUUCCCCGCCCACUUCAAGAGGGCUUUCGGCAGUUUCCGGAAAUACCCGAAGCUGCUCCGCGUGCUGAGCCGGCCACGCCCCCUCCCACCGCCCUGCCUAGGGCGGUCGUCGGCCAUUUCCGGCAACACCCGAGGCCCUCCGAGCACCCGGUCGUUUCCCCGGGUGACUCUCGGAAUCUGAUUCGCUUCGUGUCUUUCCGUCAGUUUUCGGGUAUUUUCAAACCUUGAACAGGAAGCAUGGGUCACCUGUUCGUGCUUGUGAUUUGACUAAAUACAAAACAAGAUUGUUAGCCGGC